This 460-nucleotide ribosomal RNA is filed under the name uncultured bacterium. RNAcentral's name for it is "partial 16S ribosomal RNA". It matches the Rfam family "Bacterial small subunit ribosomal RNA", at positions 338 to 795 of the family's 1533-position model. The record is from RNAcentral.
CCUACGGGUGGCAGCAGUGAGGAAUAUUGGUCAAUGGACGAGAGUCUGAACCAGUCAAGUAGCGUGAAGGAUGACUGCCCUAUGGGUUGUAAACUUCUUUUAUAAAGGAAUAAAACGAGGCACGUGUGCCUUUUUGUAUGUACUUUAUGAAUAAGGAUCGGCUAACUCCGUGCCAGCAGCCGCGGUAAUACGGAGGAUCCGAGCGUUAUCCGGAUUUAUUGGGUUUAAAGGGAGCGUAGAUGGGUUGUUAAGUCAGUUGUGAAAGUUUGCGGCUCAACCGUAAAAUUGCAAUUGAUACUGGCAGUCUUGAGUACAGUUGAGGUAGGCGGAAUUCGUGGUGUAGCGGUGAAAUGCUUAGAUAUCACGAAGAACCCCGAUUGCGAAGGCAGCUUACUAAACUGUGACUGACAUUGAUGCUCGAAAGUGUGGGUAUCAAACAGGAUUAGAUACCCCGGUAGUC